GAUGAACGCUGGCGGCGUGCCUAAUACAUGCAAGUCGAGCGAACAGAUGAGGAGCUUGCUCCUCUGACGUUAGCGGCGGACGGGUGAGUAACACGUGGAUAACCUACCUAUAAGACUGGGAUAACUUCGGGAAACCGGAGCUAAUACCGUAUAAUAUAUUGAACCGCAUGGUUCAAUAGUGAAAGACGGUUUUGCUGUCACUUAUAGAUGGAUCCGCGCCGCAUUAGCUAGUUGGUAAGGUAACGGCUUACCAAGGCAACGAUGCGUAGCCGACCUGAGAGGGUGAUCGGCCACACUGGAACUGAGACACGGUCCAGACUCCUACGGGAGGCAGCAGUAGGGAAUCUUCCGCAAUGGGCGAAAGCCUGACGGAGCAACGCCGAGUGAGUGAUGAAGGUCUUCGGAUCGUAAAACUCUGUUAUUAGGGAAGAACAAAUGUGUAAGUAACUAUGCACGUCUUGACGGUAACUAAUCAGAAAGCCACGGCUAACUACGUG
RNAcentral lists this ribosomal RNA (497 nucleotides) under uncultured bacterium. RNAcentral's name for it is "partial 16S ribosomal RNA". It matches the Rfam family "Bacterial small subunit ribosomal RNA", at positions 28 to 507 of the family's 1533-position model. The record is from RNAcentral.